UGGGGAUAUUGCACAAUGGGGGGAAACCCUGAUGCAGCGACGCCGCGUGGAGGAAGAAGGUUUUCGGAUUGUAAACUCCUGUCGUUAGGGACGAUAAUGACGGUACCUAACAAGAAAGCACCGGCUAACUACGUGCCAGCAGCCGCGGUAAAACGUAGGGUGCAAGCGUUGUCCGGAAUUACUGGGUGUAAAGGGAGCGCAGGCGGGCUGGCAAGUUGGAAGUGAAAACCAUGGGCUCAACCCAUGAAUUGCUUUCAAAAACUGCUGGUCUUGAGUAGUGCAGAGGUAGCGGAAUUCCCGGUGUAGCGGUGGA
Molecule: ribosomal RNA, 313 nt
Filed under: uncultured bacterium
Lineage: Bacteria
Description: bacterial SSU rRNA
Rfam family: Bacterial small subunit ribosomal RNA
Source: RNAcentral